AGGGUGGUGAUAUUUUCUUGAAAAGUGAUAGGAAAGCGAGGGAGGCGCGAACAUGGACGUUCGCGCCAGGCUUUACGCGACAAGGAUGUCGCUUAAAGCCGGCCCGUAAAAUUUAAAACUGCUUGAUCACUUUUCGUAGAAAAUUCCCACC
This 151-nucleotide non-coding RNA is filed under the name uncultured Acetatifactor sp. The record is from RNAcentral. Lineage: Bacteria; Bacillati; Bacillota; Clostridia; Lachnospirales; Lachnospiraceae.